Molecule: unclassified non-coding RNA, 639 nt
Filed under: Hevea brasiliensis (rubber tree)
Lineage: Eukaryota; Viridiplantae; Streptophyta; Magnoliopsida; Malpighiales; Euphorbiaceae
Source: RNAcentral
UUUAAUUUCACAUUUUACGCAUCUACAAAAAGAGAGUUAAAUAUUCCGGUAAGACUGACAGAGCAACCACAACUGCAAGGGGAUUAGGGUUUCAGAUCUCAGCAAAAAACUUGCCGGAAAAAUGGCGUUGAGGAACUUCUACAAGGAGAUAAAGGGAUUGAAGGUGAAGGAGGUUCCGGGGUACCUAAAGCCGAUGCUCUCAGUCGGUUACGCGAAGAAUGCUAUCAGGAAGGGUUUGGAUAACUACCAUGCUAAGUACAUCGAAACCAGCUCCGUUGAUCCUCUUCUCCAUGUAUGCUUCGGAGGCAUGAUAUUAUCCUAUCUCGUCGCCCUUCCAAAUGAGCGACGUCACCUCGAGCAUCAACAGCACGGCGGCGGACAUUGAUUGUCCCUCCGAUUUUCUAAGAUUGAUGAUACGGUGAAGGACAAACAUCUAUCUCUGUUGGUUGCUUUUACCCUCUUUUCAGUAAUUGGUGUACUCAGUGAGGCUCAGUUGUGCAAUACUUGGCUUAUUUAUUUGGUUUAAUAAAAUGUAGUCAAAUACUUCCUCUCUUUGCCUGUGGGCGGUAUAACGUGUGCCUUACCAAACAGAGGCUGAAUUUGCUUUUUAUGUGAAUCAACGUAUUUUGUUCUUCUCCG